RNAcentral lists this ribosomal RNA (340 nucleotides) under uncultured bacterium. Its description in RNAcentral is "bacterial SSU rRNA". It matches the Rfam family "Bacterial small subunit ribosomal RNA", at positions 1 to 334 of the family's 1533-position model. The record is from RNAcentral.
UCAGACACGUCAGAGUUUGAUCCUGGCUCAGGACGAACGCUGGCGGCGUGCCUAACACAUGCAAGUCGAGCGAUGAAGCUUCCUUCGGGAAGUGGAUUAGCGGCGGACGGGUGAGUAACACGUGGGUAACCUGCCUCAAAGAGUGGGAUAGCCUCCCGAAAGGGAGAUUAAUACCGCAUAACAUUAUUUUACGGCAUCGUAGAAUAAUCAAAGGAGCAAUCCGCUUUGAGAUGGACCCGCGGCGCAUUAGCUAGUUGGUGAGGUAACGGCUCACCAAGGCAACGAUGCGUAGCCGACCUGAGAGGGUGAUCGGCCACAUUGGAACUGAGACACGGUCCAG